CCCUCCCCUACUUGUGCUCUUUACUCUCUCUCAAAAAUAAAUAAACAUUUAAAAAAGUUUUUAAAUAUAAAAAACAUUUGUACCUCGUAGACUUUACAAAAGCAGGUGUGGGCAGGAUUUGGCUAGCAGGCUAGAAUUUGCAGACCCCGGCUCUAGAUCUAACACAUUUGUGUGGUUCUCUCCCAUGAACAGCAAGGAGCUGCAACCAUAUGGGCUGCAAAGAGGAAUUUAACCUGAAGUAGGGCUGUGAGUUUGCAGCUCUUGCCAGGAGGAUUUCAGAAAUCUGGAGGAUGAUUCUAACAGGGGUUGAGAGGCAUGGACCCAUUUCCCUGGGAAAGAGCUGUGCUCUGUUAGAAUGAGACUAAUCUGUGGGACUACCCCAGCUGGCCAUUGAUCUGACUGGGACAUCCCUGUCCACCUCCCCCUGAGUGAUAUGUGACCUCACCUUUAUAUAUCGCUCAGGAAACACUUGAA
Leopardus geoffroyi (Geoffroy's cat) is the source of this 474-nucleotide long non-coding RNA. RefSeq lists it as uncharacterized. The transcript has 3 exons. Lineage: Eukaryota; Metazoa; Chordata; Mammalia; Carnivora; Felidae. The record is from RefSeq and is a predicted model, not a curated record.